RNAcentral lists this long non-coding RNA (1002 nucleotides) under Olea europaea subsp. europaea. Lineage: Eukaryota; Viridiplantae; Streptophyta; Magnoliopsida; Lamiales; Oleaceae. The record is from RNAcentral.
CGGUCAAAUAGGAAGCCAAUAGCCGCUUUAUGAGUAGGGAGGCUGUUUAUGUGGUGCUUUAGAAGCCAAACAUAAACAGUAGGGAUGUUUCCUGCAUAUCCAAAGAAACUUGCAUUCGCAAGAGCUGUGCAAUCCUUGUAGAACGGGCUAAAACACAAAUAGGGAAAUUAAAAUUAAUAUAGCCCAUGCAGGUUGCAAUAUAUUUGAUUUCUUAGACAUUUCAGAAGCGGUAGCACAGGAUCAAAAUGAAACAACAAAAAUUUAUCAUCGCAGCCGACCCAAGUUUACCAAAGAGUUGGCUUCAUAUGUCAUUGUUUAUUUUAAGGUUGAAAAGAUUUCAGAAAAUAUUACACAAUUAAAUACAAUGUGAUAAAUGGGUACUCAACUCUUAAAAACAUAUGCAUAUAUAAUGAGCUAAAUAUAACAUUAUUUUCUGCAUAUUGUUUACAUAAGCACAUCUUUAGUCUCUACAAGUACAGCUAUGUAGGUAUGUGUUUGUGUGCAUGUAUGCACGUUAUUUGUUUCUAGAAGUACAGUAAUGAAGGUAAGGGGUUUGUGUGUGAAUGUGCACACGUGUACAUGUCUGGAUAUGUGUGAGUAGAGAAAUACUAAUACAUUUCACAUGUAUAUGUCCAUACCCAUACCUACCAAACCUGCAUGGGCAAUGCACCACACAUCCACAGGCCUUCCUAAACAAAGAAAUGACAACUUCAGCAAGAUAUUUAACAUCAAAGGCACCUUAUUCACAACCAAUUGCAUUAAAUACUGGAUAACAUUCCAAAACAAUUCGCUAACAUUCAAAUGAAGCAUCAAAGAUUCAAAGUUAUAAAUAUUAGGAGGCAAUCAAACAAGUCAAAUAUGUGUAAGAGUGUACACAAGGACAAUCAACCCAUCCACGCAGAAAAUAACAAAAGCACGUGAUGUAGAAUCUGAAUUUUAAAACUUGAUAUCGUAAGGAAAAGUUUUCCAAUGAUGAAGUUUAACCAUAAAAAAACCCUGCNA